Molecule: unclassified non-coding RNA, 250 nt
Filed under: Bombus terrestris (buff-tailed bumblebee)
Lineage: Eukaryota; Metazoa; Arthropoda; Insecta; Hymenoptera; Apidae
Description: misc RNA ENSBTSG00005032361.1
Source: RNAcentral
GUGACCUCUCCAUUACCAGAGCCGUGUAGCAUUUUGCUGGCAUUUACCAAAUUAAGAAGGGAGGCUCACAAAGGAAAACGCCAGUGAAUGGCCGGCAGGAUAGUAACGCGGGGGAAAGAAAAGACGAAGCAACCCCCUGUUCCGUUCCCUCAACGACGACCUUCGUUCUAAAGGAGAAAAGAUAGCCCCCAUUAGAAUAUUGUAUUACCACCAUACGACGAUGGUGCAAGAGAUUCGUGCUUUGUUUGCU